GCGAAAGUUACCUCCCGUUGGCCGCCAUAUUGGAGGUCGACUCAGUGAUUUUCCCUCUUUGUCUUACCAAGUUUAAGAAAAUGUAGCAGAAAUAUUUGGUGGAAAAUCUUUAUCAAAUAUUUUUUUUAAAUAAAGGAGGCUUCCAAAAAUUUAUAUACUUCAGAAAAAUAAUGAUUUCUAAUUCAAAAUAGCAAAGAUGAAAAUUUUUAAUUGGUUGAACAAUGAAGGAAUAUGAGCAUUUGGACCUCCAGUAUGGCAGCCAACGGGAAGUAACUCUUGGUCAAUCGAAAACUAUCUAUACUUACUUAAAAUUUCAAA
Long non-coding RNA from Saccostrea cuccullata (small rock oyster), 318 nucleotides. RefSeq lists it as uncharacterized. The transcript is spliced from 2 exons. Lineage: Eukaryota; Metazoa; Mollusca; Bivalvia; Ostreida; Ostreidae. The record is from RefSeq and is a predicted model, not a curated record.